Molecule: long non-coding RNA, 1559 nt
Organism: Dalotia coriaria
Lineage: Eukaryota; Metazoa; Arthropoda; Insecta; Coleoptera; Staphylinidae
Exons: 4
Source: RefSeq, a predicted model, not a curated record
CAGACUUCACGUUUCCUAAUUUGAUAAUUAAUUAGGGGCUGUAUAUAUUUCACUUAUUGAAUCAACAAUUUUAUCGCUGAUAUAUAUCGCCCCCAUGUUGUUUCUUAUCAUUAAGAAAUGUUCAUCAGGCUCGUUUACAGCACUCCUCGUGCCUGGCAGUCCAAUAAACUGUACACUGAUGAUAAAAUAUAUUCGUGGAUCUAAAAUCUCUUCAUCAUUGCACUGGUAGGUGUGUAAUUAUUUUCUUUUAUCGCGAAAAAUUAAGACGGUUUAUAUUAAAUUGAUUAUUUCAUUUGAGGGAUAUUAUUUUUGCAAAUUCCAAACACGUGGUAGCAUUUUUUAUCUGAAUUCAUAGCCCUGUUUCCGAAAAUAACAUGCAUGAUUUAAUUAUUACAUACAUUGUUAUAAAAAAGUAUCUGAGGAUUAUUAAAAUGGCAAUAAUCAUGUGGUCGACCACGCUCACUUUGCCGUCGACCGUCAGCUCUUUCUUCCUUUCGCUGAACGUUUUAAAUCGAAUUACACUCCUUUGCAUCAUUAAAUUAAAAAGUUUCUUGUUGAUCUAAUAUAAUCUUGUACGUUGAAUAGUUUUUCGCUAUCAUAGUCUCCAUAUAUCUUAAUAUUUACAAGUAAAUAGUUAUUUUUAUCGAAUUUACCUACUGUAUUGCCACGCGCCGUCGCUUGCCGUCUGCUGCUUUGGAUGUUUUCCGCCGGAUGUUCCAUCAAUUUAUGGUUAUGCUUCACCCGUCGGUUGCAGUUGAUGCCAUCAUCAAAUGAUAAAUAUAUACACAAUAAAUUAAAAUGUAAGUGUUUUAUUCUUGUAGCACCUAUCUUACUCAAGUUUUCCGAUGAUGUUCGGGUAAAAUCUUUGAAUUUAUAUUAAAAUACAGUUGUUUCGGUAUAAAUUUCUCUCGUCAUGAAGUGAAUAUUGACCAUAUUUGUAGUUUUUAAAAUUUUCCUUUUGUAACACCCUGUAUAUUAGUUUUUCCUAACUGGACGUAGUAAAUCGCUUUUAUUUGUGAGUUUUGAGUGUUUUUCGUUUUAAACUUGUGAUUUUCCUUCUGGAACACCCUGUAUGUUUUUCUUUGUGUCCGUGAAAAUUUUCCUUCAACUGCGUUUUUAGGGCUAUCUUUUUGCACUCUAUUUUUUUGUAACACCCUGUUUAUUAGUUUCCCGGAGCAUCGGGUGAACACGAGCAAUAUUUGUAGUGUAUAGAUGUUUUCCUCUUUGAUGGUUGAAUUUUCUAAUUGUGACACCUUGUAUAAUCCUUUUCAUUCACAUCCCUGAAAAUUUUGCUUUGAUUGAUAUUAGAAUUUAACUUCUUGCACUUUAAAUUUUCUUUUAUUAACGCCCUGUAUAUUUGUUUCCAUUUUCCAUCACCUAGAAAAUGGACAAUUUGCUAAAUUCUUUAUCCCGCUAGAACAGGUUGAUGUGUUACUUGCUUAUAUUUUAUGUGCGCGAUGAUGCAGGUCGUAAGUUCGGUGUCAAUAUGGCGGCAUGUAUUCUGUUGACUUGUAAAAUAUAAACUUGUAUUCUAUUGUUAAUAAAUAAAUAGUAAGAUA